Panthera leo (lion) is the source of this 107-nucleotide small nuclear RNA. The record is from Ensembl. Lineage: Eukaryota; Metazoa; Chordata; Mammalia; Carnivora; Felidae.
GUGCUCACUUUGGCAACACACAGACAAAAAUUAGAAUGACACAGAGAAGAUUAGCAUGGUCCCUGUGCAAGGAUGACACUCAAAUUCAUGAAGCGUUCCACAUAUGG